RNAcentral lists this long non-coding RNA (1620 nucleotides) under Homo sapiens (human). RNAcentral's name for it is "HSALNT0308660". The record is from RNAcentral. Lineage: Eukaryota; Metazoa; Chordata; Mammalia; Primates; Hominidae.
UAGAAAGGCACUGUUCAUGAGGGGAAUCCUUUGGAAGUCCUGUCUUGCUGACAGAUAGGUCCCUUUGGAACAGAUUGGAGGUCUUCUCCCCACAGCAGAGGAAAAACAACAACAGCAACAACAAUACAAAAUGACAACAGAAAAAGCAAGAGACAGCAUUUCACCAUGUUGGGCAGGCUGGUCUCGAACUCCUGGGCCCGAGUGAUUCUCCCACCUCAGCCUCCCAAAAUGCUGGGACUCAAGGCAUGAGCCACUUCACCCGGCCAAUUUUAACUUUUUAAUGUCAAAAAAUUAUACAAACAAUAUAUGCUAAAUGGACCUAUGGAUAACAAUUAUACAAACAAUAUAUGCUAAAUGUAUAUAUGGAUAAAAAUAAAUAAUAAAGAAGUUAUAAAGUAAAAACUUAGAUUUCUUCUCUCCGAAUACAUAGUCCUACCCAUCAAGAAAACAGUAAAGUGUUUAAUGUGUGUGUCCAGAAAAGUUCAAUUUGCCAUGGUAUGUUUAGAAAGCUUUUAUUGAACUAUAUGAGAAUAUAUUAAGUACACAAUUAGUAAAUAGAUUGCUGAUGAAUUAUAAAUUGAACACACCCAUGUAAUUAUCACUAAGAUUCAGAAAUUAAAUAUUAUAAGCUUAUAAUAGCACUGGGAAGGGCUUUUUAAAAUAAGCCCUUUUCCUGCCCUCUCCGAAUCACCACUCUCUCCUUCCUUCCCAGAGAUAUAACUCUUAUCCUGAAUCCUAAAACUAUAAAUUAGUUUGCUUGGAUAAGUAGGAUUGUACCAACUGUCUUCUUCUGUGUCAAACUGCUUACUCUCAACAUAAUGUUUGCAAAAUUUAUCCAUGAUAGAAGGUGUUUGUUUUCUUACUUUAUUACCAUGAGACUUCUAAUAACAGGAACAUAGCAGUGACAUGCAUAUAGAAUAUAAUAUUCUAAUAUAUAAAAAUCACAGUUGAUCCAUUCUACUGUUGAAAGAUAUUUCAGUUGUUUCCAGUUUGGGGCUAUUGUGAAUAAUGCUGCAAUAAACAUUUUGUACAAAUGUUUCCCUGAACAUAUGUUUGAAUUACUAUUAGGUAUUCAUAUAGGGGUGUAAUUGUUAGGUUAUAUUUGUUAUGCUCAACUUUAAUAAAUAGUGCCAGUUUUUCAAAUGUUGUCUCCCCUCAGCUAUGAAUGUGAAAGUUCCAGUUGCUUUACUCCCUUACAGUAUUAUCAUGGUUGUUUUUUUAAAAAUUGGCCCAUUUGAGUGGGUUUAUAGUGGUAUUUCAUUGUGAUUUUUAUGUUUACUUCCCUAAUGACUAAUUUCUUAAUGUUUAUUGACCCUUUGUGUAUCUUCUUGGGAAAUACCAGUUCAUGUAUUUUGCCCAUUAAAAAAAUGUGUUGUCUGUCGUUUUGUUAUUGUUUUGCAGGAUUGUGUAUACAUUUUUAUUGUUACAUGUAAGAAAUGAUGUGGCUUUUCUUAUUGUUCUUUUAAUGGUGUCUUUUGAUGAUCAGAAAUUUCUCCAUAAAUUGGUAAAGAUUGGCUUAAUUGAACUGCGUUAAAACAAUAUCAUUUAUAAAUUGCAUCAGUGAUAUAAGCUAACCAGGAAUAAGGCUAAUGAAAACUAUACAAGAUCCAUUCUCAGAAA